AACUGGUGUCGGGCCCUGAC
Molecule: unclassified non-coding RNA, 20 nt
Filed under: Chlamydomonas reinhardtii
Lineage: Eukaryota; Viridiplantae; Chlorophyta; Chlorophyceae; Chlamydomonadales; Chlamydomonadaceae
Description: small RNA Cre_0080
Source: RNAcentral